AACGCACCUUGCGCCCUUUGGUAAUCCGAGGGGCAUGCCUGUUUGAGUGUCUUGAAGCCCUCAAACCCAGAGGUCUCUGUAAUGGAGUGCCUCCUGAGGUUUGGACUUGGACUGAUUGCUGGUCGCCCCCGUGGCGUCGGCUCGUCUGAAAUGCAUUAGCUGGCUGCUGAGGUUGGCGAACCGGUGUGAUAAGUGUCACCCGCCGGUAAGCCUCCUUGCUGCGCAGUCGCUUCUAAUGGUCUCUGCGAGACAAUUUUAAGUGUUUGACCUCAAAUCAGGUAGGACUACCCGCUGAACUUAA
Molecule: ribosomal RNA, 301 nt
Filed under: uncultured fungus
Lineage: Eukaryota; Fungi
Description: eukaryotic LSU rRNA
Rfam family: 5.8S ribosomal RNA (bases 1-52)
Source: RNAcentral